AAUGCACCAAUUUGUAAGUCGCUCUGGAUAAGGGCCUCUGCUAAAUGACUUAAA
Non-coding RNA from Salmo salar (Atlantic salmon), 54 nucleotides. Lineage: Eukaryota; Metazoa; Chordata; Actinopteri; Salmoniformes; Salmonidae. The record is from Rfam.